RNAcentral lists this ribosomal RNA (471 nucleotides) under uncultured Pseudomonadota bacterium. Its description in RNAcentral is "bacterial SSU rRNA". It matches the Rfam family "Bacterial small subunit ribosomal RNA", at positions 355 to 840 of the family's 1533-position model. Lineage: Bacteria; Pseudomonadati; Pseudomonadota. The record is from RNAcentral.
UGGGGAAUAUUGCACAAUGGGCGAAAGCCUGAUGCAGCCAUGCCGCGUGGGUGAAGAAGGCCCUAGGGUUGUAAACCCCUUUCAGCGGGGAAGAUAAUGACGGUACCCGCAGAAGAAGCCCCGGCUAACUCCGUGCCAGCAGCCGCGGUAAUACGGAGGGGGCUAGCGUUGUUCGGAAUUACUGGGCGUAAAGCGCGCGUAGGCGGAUCUGUAAGUUGGGGGUGAAAUCCCGAGGCUCAACCUCGGAACUGCCUUCGAUACUGCAGAUCUCGAGUCCGAGAGAGGUGAGUGGAAUUCCUAGUGUAGAGGUGAAAUUCGUAGAUAUUAGGAAGAACACCAGUGGCGAAGGCGGCUCACUGGGCUCGGGUACUGACGCUGAGGCGCGAAAGCGUGGGGAGCAAACAGGGAUUAGAUACCCUGGUAGUCCACGCCGUAAACUAUGGGUGCUAGCCGUCGGAGAGCAUGCCUCGU